CUAGGACCCUCAGCCCUGGACCUGUUACUAUGGUAGAUGCCAUUGACGUGGUGGGGUAACUUUUCUUGAGCAUUCUUCCUGCUCUGUGAUCUGUGCAAUGCCUCAAAGUCUCUGGCCCACUGUGCUUUGCUCUGCCGGGCCCCCAAAGGCCCUGACUCUGAAGUGGGAUUCAACUCCAGACACCAGGAUUGAGUGGCAAGUGCCUUUAUCCCUGCUUCAUCACUCUGGCCUAGUCGUGUGGUUUAUUAAAGCUCCCAAGAUGACUGGAAUGCAAUCAAGAUAGAAUGACU
Molecule: long non-coding RNA, 290 nt
Filed under: Mus musculus (house mouse)
Lineage: Eukaryota; Metazoa; Chordata; Mammalia; Rodentia; Muridae
Description: predicted gene, 47677
Source: RNAcentral